RNAcentral lists this long non-coding RNA (209 nucleotides) under Elaeis guineensis (African oil palm). RNAcentral's name for it is "long non-coding RNA (EGUI_LNC026276)". Lineage: Eukaryota; Viridiplantae; Streptophyta; Magnoliopsida; Arecales; Arecaceae. The record is from RNAcentral.
GUUUUUGUUGGUAAAGUUGACAAGACAUGCUCUCAUAAUUAAUCAUGAAAUUGAUCGUGCCAAUGUUGCUAAUUGGUAUGCAAACUACUCUUCAAAUUGAAUUCAAAAAUUAUACUCCCUUUCCACAUAUCGCUGUCCAAUAUUAAAAUUUGUUUUGCCCUUUAGAUAAUGAUAACCAAGCCUAUCUCAAAAACAUGUCAUGAUAUUUC